Molecule: ribosomal RNA, 951 nt
Filed under: Triticum aestivum (bread wheat)
Lineage: Eukaryota; Viridiplantae; Streptophyta; Magnoliopsida; Poales; Poaceae
Description: partial small subunit ribosomal RNA
Source: RNAcentral
AUGUCAGCUCUCACACGGAGCGGCUCAAGGAGAAGAUGGAGGUCAUGGAGGACCCCGCGAUGCGCGAUACGCUGGAGGCCAUGGCGAAUUGCCUUGAUGACGCCCUCCUGCUCAUCGACACGUGCCAUGGCAAGUGCUUCCUGCUCCGCUACCUGUGUGCGAGCCAUGUCCAAGCAGCUGCGCCGGGCACAUGAAGAUAUAUCAAGGAAACUCCAGCUGGGUGCCUUCGCCGUCGAUGUCGACAUAAAGAUUGCUUUGGACAAACUCGUCACACAGUAUGCAGGACAGGCGGAAAACCCACAAAGUAGUCAACCAAGAACCGAUCAAGCUAGCAGACCUGGAGUAAGGAAAAAUGACAAAGGGAAGACCAUGGUAGCAACAGUAAGAAGGGCAGAGUCUGAUCCCUUGUCAGGCAUUGCACAGUUCAGUUUGUCUCAGUUGGAGGCUGCUACAAACGACUUCUCAGAAGAUAGUUAUGUUGAAAGAGGCUACUACAAGGGUGUAUUAUUGCACAACGGACUAGAUGUUGUAGCCGCCAUCAAGAAGUUUCCAGUCUCUAAUGAUCUUGAACUGCAGCAUGAGCUCAAUAUUCGUGCAAAGCUUGAACACAGAAACAUAGUUAAACUUUUGGGAUAUGCCAAAGUUGAAAAAAGGCUAUGCUUUUUGGUCGAAGAAUACAUGUCGAAUGCUAAAAGCUUGGAAAACAUUAUUAUUAAUGGCAUGUCCUCAACAUCUCGUCUUGAUUGGCCCUCCUGUUUCAAGAUAAUUCAGGGCAUAGCCAAGGGCUUACAUUAUCUACAUAAGAAAUGGGUUCUCUAUAUGGAUUUGAAACCAAACAACAUCCUCGUCCGUUCAGAUAUGGACCCUGUGAUCAUCAAUUUUGGAUCAUCUGUAGUACUAGAUGGUGAUGAUGAUACGAUCUCUGGGGACACCUUAGCGGGCACAUUGUAA